UACGUAGGGGGCAAGCGUUAUCCGGAUUCACUGGGCGUAAAGGGAGCGCAGGCGGCAUGGCAAGUCUGAUGUGAAAACCCGGGGCCCAACCCCGGGAGUGCAUUGGAAACUGCCAGGCUGGAGUGUCGGAGGGGUAAGCGGAAUUCCUAGUGUAGCGGUGAAAUGCGUAGAUAUUAGGAGGAACACCAGUGGCGAAGGCGGCUUACUGGACGACUACUGACGCUGAGGCUCGAAAGCGUGGGGAGCGAACAGG
RNAcentral lists this ribosomal RNA (253 nucleotides) under uncultured bacterium. Its description in RNAcentral is "partial 16S ribosomal RNA". It matches the Rfam family "Bacterial small subunit ribosomal RNA", at positions 524 to 776 of the family's 1533-position model. The record is from RNAcentral.